GAUGAAGAACGCAGCGAAAUGCGAUACGUAAUGUGAAUUGCAGAAUUCAGUGAAUCAUCGAGUCUUUGAACGCACAUUGCGCCCUCUGGUAUUCCGGAGGGCAUGCCUGUCCGAGCGUCAUUGCUGCCCUCAAGCACGGCUUGUGUGUUGGGCUCCGUCCCCCGAUCCCGGGGGACGGGCCCGAAAGGCAGCGGCGGCACCGCGUCCGGUCCUCGAGCGUAUGGGGCUUUGUCACCCGCUCUGUAGGCCCGGCCGGCGCUUGCCGAUCAACCAAAUUUUUAUCCAGGUUGACCUCGGAUCAGGUAGGGAUACCCGCUGAACUUAAGCAUAUCAAUAAGCGGA
This 342-nucleotide unclassified non-coding RNA is filed under the name soil metagenome. RNAcentral's name for it is "partial contains 5.8S ribosomal RNA, internal transcribed spacer 2, and large subunit ribosomal RNA". The stretch from base 1 to 120 matches the Rfam family "5.8S ribosomal RNA", at positions 35 to 154 of the family's 154-position model. The record is from RNAcentral.